CUUCUUUCUGCUUUCGGCUUCUCUACAGUGUUGCCUUGUGGCGUGGAGUUCAAGCAGCAUUGUACAGGGCUAUCAAAGCAUAGA
Molecule: microRNA precursor, 84 nt
Organism: Sarcophilus harrisii (Tasmanian devil)
Lineage: Eukaryota; Metazoa; Chordata; Mammalia; Dasyuromorphia; Dasyuridae
Gene: MIR107
Product: microRNA 107
Source: Ensembl